GACGCCGCUCGAGCCCGCUUUCGCGUGGGCUCGGUGUUGAGGCACUAGGAAUAGGCAAACCUCCUAGGCCUUUAAAAUCAUUGUGCGGCCCCCGCUACAGGACCCGAGCACAGUAGACCUCUCAUGUUGAGCUGCUCUGGGCCCCGCGCGGCGGUGCCAGCCAUAAAAACCCCGACACAGGCUCCCGCUUUUCAACCGGGAAGCCGUCUGA
RNAcentral lists this unclassified non-coding RNA (211 nucleotides) under uncultured Ascomycota. RNAcentral's name for it is "sequence contains ITS2". The record is from RNAcentral. Lineage: Eukaryota; Fungi; Ascomycota.